This 53-nucleotide non-coding RNA is filed under the name Dickeya dadantii 3937. Lineage: Bacteria; Pseudomonadati; Pseudomonadota; Gammaproteobacteria; Enterobacterales; Pectobacteriaceae. The record is from RNAcentral.
CUAUUUUCAACAGGCACCAGCAAAAUCUGGUGCCGGGAUUGGCGUCCCGGUAA